RNAcentral lists this ribosomal RNA (465 nucleotides) under uncultured bacterium. RNAcentral's name for it is "partial 16S ribosomal RNA". It matches the Rfam family "Bacterial small subunit ribosomal RNA", at positions 28 to 507 of the family's 1533-position model. The record is from RNAcentral.
GACGAACGCUGGCGGCGUGCUUAACACAUGCAAGUCGAACGGAAAGGCCCCUUUGGGGGUACUCGAGUGGCGAACGGGUGAGUAACACGUGAGUAACCUGCCCUUGACUUCGGGAUAACGUCAGGAAACUGGGGCUAAUACCGGAUAGGAAUCCUUGCUGCAUGGUGGGGGUUGGAAAGUUUCGGCGGUUUUGGAUGGACUCGCGGCUUAUCAGCUUGCUGGUGGGGUAGUGGCUUACCAAGGCUUUGACGGGUAGCCGGCCUGAGAGGGCGACCGGCCACACUGGGACUGAGAUACGGCCCAGACUCCUACGGGAGGCAGCAGUGGGGAAUAUUGCACAAUGGGCGGAAGCCUGAUGCAGCAACGCCGCGGGCGGGAUGACGGCCUUCGGGUUGUAAACCGCUUUCAGCAGGGGCGAAGCUUGUGGUGACGGUACCUGCAGAAGAAGCACCGGCUAACUACGUG